AUACGGAGGGUGCAAGCGUUAUCCGGAUUUAUUGGGUUUAAAGGGUGCGUAGGCGGUUUUAUAAGUCAGCGGUGAAAUAUUUCAGCUUAACUGGAAGGGUGCCGUUGAUACUGUCGAGCUUGAAUUUAGUUGCUGUGGGUGGAAUGUGUGGUGUAGCGGUGAAAUGCAUAGAUAUCACACAGAAUAUCGAUUGCGAAGGCAGCUCACAAAGCUAAUAUUGACGCUGAUGCACGAAAGUGUGGGGAUCAAACAGGAUUAGAUACCCUGGUAGUCCACACUGUAAACGAUGAUAACUCGCUGUCGGCGAUACAUAGUCGGUGGCCAAGCGAAAGCAUUAAGUAUUCCACCUGGGGAGUACGCCGGCAACGGUGAAACUUAAAUGAAUUGGCGGGG
Molecule: ribosomal RNA, 393 nt
Filed under: uncultured bacterium
Lineage: Bacteria
Description: partial 16S ribosomal RNA
Rfam family: Bacterial small subunit ribosomal RNA
Source: RNAcentral